GGCAAGGCAGAGUGUUGGGCAUGAGACCAGAACUUAGAAUGGGGAACACUGGAAAAUGUUCUGACAGUUACUAAGGUCCUCUCACUGACUGGCUGACUUUCCUUCUGGCUAUUGGUAGAGGCAGACAUCUUAGACCUGUGCUGGUGAGAGGGAAAAAGAUCUCUGUAAACCAUCUAAAAAGGUUUUCUACUUUCCUGACCGAGAGAAGUCAUCUCUAAGAAGAAGCUGGUAGAUCUGUUUUGCUGGAGAACAAUUUGGAGAAAAAAAAGGCUGAAGACUGCCUGGACACUGGGCCAUACCAGGGUUACCUUAUUUUCAGUUAGCAACUGCCAUCUUGGCUGACUGAAAUUAUAUGUACUUGGAGAUAUCAUUAUCAAAUUAGUCAGAUUAAUGUUUUGGGGUUAUGUUUUUAUUUUUGUUUUGUAAGUGCUAGGCAGAUUUGGUGUAGCUGGAAGAACCAAAGGCUUUGUCAUGAGAUAAAUGUAGAAGGUGGCUGUGUCAUCUAUACCAUUUUUGAAGCAUGCACCAGAGCAGAACUUCAUUUUUUCCCAUUCAAAAUCUCAAUCAAUCUCAGAUCUGGCAUUUGGUUAAAGUGGAUUUUGGUGCACAUAAAAUAAAACACAAGGAGUUUCAAC
This 635-nucleotide long non-coding RNA is filed under the name Monodelphis domestica (gray short-tailed opossum). RNAcentral describes it as "lncRNA (ENSMODG00000031174.2)". Lineage: Eukaryota; Metazoa; Chordata; Mammalia; Didelphimorphia; Didelphidae. The record is from RNAcentral.